Molecule: transfer RNA, 69 nt
Filed under: Ictidomys tridecemlineatus (thirteen-lined ground squirrel)
Lineage: Eukaryota; Metazoa; Chordata; Mammalia; Rodentia; Sciuridae
Description: Spermophilus tridecemlineatus (thirteen-lined ground squirrel) tRNA
Rfam family: tRNA
About the family: Transfer RNA (tRNA) molecules are approximately 80 nucleotides in length. Their secondary structure includes four short double-helical elements and three loops (D, anti-codon, and T loops). Further hydrogen bonds mediate the characteristic L-shaped molecular structure. tRNAs have two regions of fundamental functional importance: the anti-codon, which is responsible for specific mRNA codon recognition, and the 3' end, to which the tRNAs corresponding amino acid is attached (by aminoacyl-tRNA synthetases). tRNAs cope with the degeneracy of the genetic code in two manners: having more than one tRNA (with a specific anti-codon) for a particular amino acid; and 'wobble' base-pairing, i.e. permitting non-standard base-pairing at the 3rd anti-codon position.
Source: Rfam by way of RNAcentral
GGGGUUGUGGCUCAGUGGUAGAGUGCGUGCCUACUACAUACGAGGCCCUAGGUUAGAUCCUCAACACCA